GAGGUGGAAGAGGUUGUGUUAGGACUGGUUCUGAUUGAUUUGGUUCCUCAAGUUCUUUAGCUCAUUGCUCUUGAGAGAUAUUCUCCUUGAGCUUAAUUAUUCUUCCGAUGCCACCAUCUUGAAUAAACUAUUUUUCAAGAAAAAUAGUAUUUCGACUCACAAUCAUAUUGUGGUCUUCCGAAAUAUAAAAAUAGUAUCCUAAUGACUCUUUAGGAUAUCCUACGAAUCGAGCUCUAAAAGACCUGAACUCUAACUUGUCCGUCUGCUGUCUCUUGACAUGAGCCAGACAAGCCCAAAUUCUGAGAUG
This 307-nucleotide long non-coding RNA is filed under the name Elaeis guineensis (African oil palm). Its description in RNAcentral is "long non-coding RNA (EGUI_LNC027912)". Lineage: Eukaryota; Viridiplantae; Streptophyta; Magnoliopsida; Arecales; Arecaceae. The record is from RNAcentral.